This 100-nucleotide non-coding RNA is filed under the name uncultured Thiohalocapsa sp. RNAcentral's name for it is "Glycine riboswitch". It matches the Rfam family "Glycine riboswitch aptamer", at positions 8 to 87 of the family's 94-position model. Rfam says of the family: This family represents the bacterial glycine riboswitch. Glycine riboswitches usually consist of two metabolite-binding aptamers domains with similar structures in tandem. Lineage: Bacteria; Pseudomonadati; Pseudomonadota; Gammaproteobacteria; Chromatiales; Chromatiaceae. The record is from RNAcentral.
CCGCGGGAGAGACCGGCAGCCUCGGGCGACACAGUCCAGCGCAAGGCCGGCGCCGAAGGCGCAACACCGCCCGGAAUCGCUCAGGCAAAAGGACCGCGGC